AUGCGUACAGAGUGCACACACAUCCAGAUCCAUGUGGUGUACAUGCAUAGAGUGUACACACAUCCAAAUAUAGUGUACAAACAAGUUCACUACGAGUGUAAAAGCAUAGAGCAUACACACAUCCAUAUAGCAAAUGUACAUAAGCUAACACGUAUGCGCAUGCAUAGCACGUACACCCAUCUAUAUGCAGUGUACACAGGUAUACUAUACCUGUAUGUACAUGCAUAUGGCAUACACAUGCACAUCCGUGCGUACAUAGGUAAGAUCGGAUGGAGAGCAGAACUACCUGAGACCCUUUUGAGGGACAGGCAUGUAGGAACUGCUGCAGUUUGAGGGAUAUAGCCUUCUAAUCUGCAGAACCUUAUAGUAAUCAGCUACCAACUUACCUGGGGAUAAAAGAAUUGAAAAAAGAAGGAGAAUAAGAAGAAGCAAAUGGAGUCUCAUGGCUGAAGGGCCAGCAUCAAUGUGGGUUGAGCCUGGAGUCUCUGGACAUGGUAGGUCUGAGCCUUUUUAUGAUGCUGUCUGAGUCUGUGAUUUGUUCUUGGUUGGUAGAGCCUAACGAAAAGAGAAUAACUAAAUCUUCCACAAGAAACUUCCGGGGACACACAAGUACCUAAAUGUGGUGAUAUCUCAAUGGAUGAG
Molecule: long non-coding RNA, 642 nt
Filed under: Macaca mulatta (Rhesus monkey)
Lineage: Eukaryota; Metazoa; Chordata; Mammalia; Primates; Cercopithecidae
Description: lncRNA (ENSMMUG00000064249.1)
Source: RNAcentral